GGCCGAAUGGUCUAGUGGUAUGAUCUCGCUUUGGGUGCGAGAGGUCCCGGGUUCAAUCCCCGGUUCGGCCC
This 71-nucleotide transfer RNA is filed under the name Caenorhabditis remanei. Its description in RNAcentral is "tRNA-Pro (TGG) (tRNA-Pro-TGG-3-1)". It matches the Rfam family "tRNA". Rfam says of the family: Transfer RNA (tRNA) molecules are approximately 80 nucleotides in length. Their secondary structure includes four short double-helical elements and three loops (D, anti-codon, and T loops). Lineage: Eukaryota; Metazoa; Nematoda; Chromadorea; Rhabditida; Rhabditidae. The record is from Rfam by way of RNAcentral.